GAUGAAGAACGUAGCAAAAUGCGAUAAGUAAUGUGAAUUGCAGAAUUCAGUGAAUCAUCGAAUCUUUGAACGCACAUUGCGCCCUUUGGUAUUCCGAAGGGCAUGCCUGUUCGAGCGUCAUUAUCACCCCUCAAGCCCUCGGCUUGGUGUUGGACGGUUUGGUGGAGGCCCCCUCGGGGGCUCCUGCCCCUCCCAAAGACAAUGACGGCGGCCUCGUUGGACCCCCGGUACACUGAGUUCUUCACGGGACACGUAUCGGACACAUGGGUUUACGGGACACGGUCUGCCUCCCCUCAGGGAGAAUCUUUCUAAGGUUGACCUCGGAUCAGGUAGGGAUACCCGCUGAACUUAAGCAUAUCAAUAAGCGGAGGA
Molecule: unclassified non-coding RNA, 372 nt
Filed under: soil metagenome
Description: partial contains 5.8S ribosomal RNA, internal transcribed spacer 2, and large subunit ribosomal RNA
Rfam family: 5.8S ribosomal RNA (bases 1-120)
Source: RNAcentral